UUUGAAAACCUAGUGGCGAACGGGUGCGUAACACGUGAACAAUCUACCUUUAAGUGGGGAAUAGCUCGCCGAAAGGCGAAUUAAUACCGCAUGUGGUCGAAGCUCGCAUGAGCUUCGAACUAAAGUCAGGGACCGCAAGGCCUGACGCUUCUAGAGGAGUUCGCGGCCUAUCAGCUAGUUGGCGAGGUAACGGCUCACCAAGGCUAAGACGGGUAGCUGGUCUGAGAGGAUGAUCAGCCACACUGGAACUGAGACACGGUCCAGACACC
This 269-nucleotide ribosomal RNA is filed under the name uncultured bacterium. Its description in RNAcentral is "partial 16S ribosomal RNA". It matches the Rfam family "Bacterial small subunit ribosomal RNA", at positions 83 to 339 of the family's 1533-position model. The record is from RNAcentral.